GCACCAAAAUAAGAAAAGAUGACACCCCACAGCACAAAAGCAGCCCAUCAAACAACCAAGACGCCGACAUGCUCAGCAGGACUACAGGAAAGCUGCCGUCUCGCCUGUCAGAUGUAACCUUUUCUUCUCUGUCCUGGGCUUUUCUGAAAAGAAUACACCUCCCUACCAAGGCCAUCUUCAAUCUCUACAGAAGUCCCCAACUCCACCACCUCUUCAUGCGGUCACUGCAUGGGGACCUUCCUUGCCUGCUCUUUAGGACAAAGGUCUACACACAGCUGAUCCCCUCCCCACAGAGGCCAACACUUUUGAUUUCAUCAAUAAAUCAUUUGUAAUCAAGACAUUAAAGCUCAGGCUCAAACAGACCAGAAGUGCAGCUUCUGGAAUUGACAGGAAUAAAUUUGUCAGAUGUAGAUUCA
This is a long non-coding RNA of Bos indicus x Bos taurus (hybrid cattle), 416 nucleotides long. The record is from Ensembl. Lineage: Eukaryota; Metazoa; Chordata; Mammalia; Artiodactyla; Bovidae.